UUCCGGUUGAUCCCGCCGGAGGUUACUGCUAUCGGCGUUCGCCUAAGCCAUGCGAGUCAUAUGUUCUUCGUGAACAUGGCGUACUGCUCAGUAACACGUGGAUAACCUGCCCUUGGGUCCGGCAUAACCCCGGGAAACUGGGGAUAAUACCGGAUAACGCACAUAUGCUGGAAUGCUUUAUGCGUAAAAUGGAUUCGUCUGCCCAAGGAUGGGUCUGCGGCCUAUCAGGUAGUAGUGGGUGUAAUGUACCUACUAGCCGACAACGGGUACGGGUCGUGAGAGCAAGAGCCCGGAGAUGGAUUCUGAGACAUGAAUCCAGGCCCUACGGGGCGCAGCAGGCGCGAAAACUUUACAAUGCGGGAAACCGUGAUAAGGGGACACCGAGUGCCAGCAUCAUAUGCUGGCUGUCCGGGUGUGUAAAAUACACUCGUUAGCAAGGGCCGGGCAAGACCGGUGCCAGCCGCCGCGGUAACACCGGCGGCCCGAGUGGUGAUCGUGAUUAUUGGGUCUAAAGGGUCCGUAGCCGGUUUGGUCAGUCCUCCGGGAAAUCUGAUAGCUCAACUAUUAGGCUUUCGGGGGAUACUGCCAGACUUGGGACCGGGAGAGGUAAGAGGUACUACAGGGGUAGGAGUGAAAUCUUGUAAUCCCUGUGGGACCACCUGUGGCGAAGGCGUCUUACCAGAACGGGUUCGACGGUGAGGGACGAAAGCUGGGGGCACGAACCGGAUUAGAUACCCGGGUAGUCCCAGCCGUAAACGAUGCUCGCUAGGUGUCAGGCAUGGCGCGACCGUGUCUGGUGCCGCAGGGAAGCCGUGAAGCGAGCCACCUGGGAAGUACGGCCGCAAGGCUGAAACUUAAAGGAAUUGGCGGGGGAGCACAACAACGGGUGGAGCCUGCGGUUUAAUUGGAUUCAACGCCGGA
Molecule: ribosomal RNA, 921 nt
Filed under: uncultured Methanosarcina sp.
Lineage: Archaea; Methanobacteriati; Methanobacteriota; Methanomicrobia; Methanosarcinales; Methanosarcinaceae
Description: bacterial SSU rRNA
Rfam family: Archaeal small subunit ribosomal RNA
Source: RNAcentral